UACGUAGGGGGCGAGCGUUGUCCGGAAUUACUGGGCGUAAAGCGUGCGCAGGCGGUAUGACAAGUCAGAUGUGAAAGAGGCCGGCUUAACCGGCAAGGGUCAUUUGAAACUGUCAGACUAGAGUGCAGCAGAGGAUAGUGGAAUUCCCGGUGUAGUGGUGAAAUGCGUAGAUAUCGGGAGGAACACCAGUGGCGAAGGCGGGUCUCUGGACCAUAACGUGACGCUGAUGCACGAAAGCUAGGGGAGCAAACAGG
RNAcentral lists this ribosomal RNA (254 nucleotides) under uncultured bacterium. RNAcentral describes it as "partial 16S ribosomal RNA". It matches the Rfam family "Bacterial small subunit ribosomal RNA", at positions 524 to 776 of the family's 1533-position model. The record is from RNAcentral.